This 571-nucleotide long non-coding RNA is filed under the name Rattus norvegicus (Norway rat). RNAcentral's name for it is "long non-coding RNA NONRATT033936". The record is from RNAcentral. Lineage: Eukaryota; Metazoa; Chordata; Mammalia; Rodentia; Muridae.
CUCGAUCUUGGGUUUGGCGCCCACCUUUGGAGAUGGAAUGUGCUGCACACACAUGUCCACAAAGCCUGUGGAGGAGGAAGAGGAAGCCAUCACUAUCACUGGUACCCAUUCUUAGUAGGUAAGUGAGUAGAAGGAACACGUGGACUCAACACAGAAGCUAACACUUCUAGGGAAAUCUAUUUCCUAUGAGGAGAAAACACACUUUUGGAGUUAGACUGAUGUCAAGAAAGUUUAGAAGCAGGUCUUAGUAGGACACAAUUCCUUAUAAUCUAGCUCACAAAAAAAUUAAAGACUCUGUGAUGGUUUGCAUAUGCUUGGCCCAGGGAAUGGCACUAUUAGGAGGUGUGGCCCUGUUAGAGUGGGUGUGCCACUGUGGGUGUGGGCUUUAAGACCCUCAUCCUAGCUGCCUGGAAGCCAGUAUUCUGCUAGCAGCCUUCAGAUGAAGAUGUAGAACUCUCAGCUCCUCCUGAACCAUGCCUGCCUGGAUGCUGCCGUGUUCCUGCCUUGAUGAUAAUGGACUGAACCUCUGAACCUGUGAGCCAGCCCCGAUUAAAUGUUGUCCUCUAUAAGA